CCCUUAGAUGUCCUGGGCCGCACGCGCGUUACACUGAUGCAUUCAACGAGCUUAUAACCUUGGCCGAGAGGCCUGGGCAAUCUUGUUAACGUGCAUCGUGAUAGGGAUAGAUUAUUGAAAUUAUUAAUCUUGAACGAGGAAUUCCUAGUAAACGCAGAUCAUCAAUCUGCAUUGAUUACGUCCCUGCCCUGUGUACACACCGCCCGUCGCACCUACCGAUUGGAUGGUCCGGUGAAGCCUCGGGAUUGUGGUUCUUGCCGCUUUAUUGUGGCGUGACCGCGAGAACUUGUCUAAACCUUAUCAUCUAGAGGAAGGUGAAGUCGUAACA
This 328-nucleotide ribosomal RNA is filed under the name uncultured eukaryote. Its description in RNAcentral is "partial 18S ribosomal RNA". It matches the Rfam family "Eukaryotic small subunit ribosomal RNA", at positions 1470 to 1796 of the family's 1831-position model. The record is from RNAcentral.